AUCUACAUCUGUUUCAAGAUGCUAGUCAUUCCCGGAAACCAGAAAAUUUCUUCUAGAAAGACACGGGUUUUUUCUACAAAUUUAUGAUACAUAGAGAUAUAUCUUACCAGGGGAAUGCUUUUGUACACUGAGAUUUAUAAUAAUUUAUAAGCAGAAAGAAACCUUCUGGAAGGAAAUAUCAUAUUCUAGAUAAGCAUUCCGGCCUUCUGACGCAGAUUAUAAUCUCUUUACAUUCUAUUUUAAAGAAAGUUUAUAGAAGAUUGCUUCUAAAACCAAUUUUACUUAUUAAUAAAGAAUAUAUAAUUUAAUCUAAUUGUCUAAUAUCUUAUUUUGCAAGCAAUUAAGCGACUUUUCCGUUAUUUUAAAUACAGUUUAUAGUGAGCUUUAUAACACGCAUUCUAAAUGAAUCAAUUCGGAUGAACAGGUCAAAGUUCAAGGCGAGAUUGCUAUUAUCAAUUUUAACUGCCAUCCAUUCCUCCCUCUGCGAAACGUUACAUCAGCCGGAUAAAGAUAUAUUCUAGACGGACAUGUACAUGUAUAUACAUAUAUUCACACACCCGAAUUGCUGACUUCGCGAUGACGUUCGGCUCACUUUUUCAGAGCGCGGGGCAGAGAUUAUAAACUUUUCCAAACGAUGUUUAUUCGAUAUGUAUUUAAGCUUAUAUAUACAAGUUGAAUAUCAAAAUGAA
Long non-coding RNA from Wasmannia auropunctata (little fire ant), 689 nucleotides. RefSeq lists it as uncharacterized. The transcript is spliced from 2 exons. The record is from RefSeq and is a predicted model, not a curated record. Lineage: Eukaryota; Metazoa; Arthropoda; Insecta; Hymenoptera; Formicidae.